Molecule: long non-coding RNA, 731 nt
Organism: Symphalangus syndactylus (siamang)
Lineage: Eukaryota; Metazoa; Chordata; Mammalia; Primates; Hylobatidae
Source: RefSeq, a predicted model, not a curated record
CCCAACGGCCUUUUCCACACCCCUGGGCCCAGCCUCAGGUGUCUAGGGUAUUUCCUAAGUGGAAUCAGGGAAGAUGUCUCAAAUCAAGCCAGGCAGCAGCCAUCUGGAAAAUUGCUGAUGGCUUAGCACCCUUGGGCCUGGUGGGUGAGGAGGUUCUUCCGGCCCUGGGCUCCUGCCUGGUGUCCCCUCUCAGUCAGCGCCUCCACCCAGGGCAGGAGCAGCCUCCGUGGAAGGGUGAGAGAAGCUGGCUGCAGUGCAGGACAGCUCUGCUGGUUGGGUAGAGCGGAGACAGCAGAGGAACUUCAGCCUCCCAGAAGAGUAAGAGCUGAGCGAAGCUGUGAAAGGCGUAUCCUUGCUUGGCUCACGUCAAGAUGAAGAGUGCUGUGUGAACCUGAGGAAGAAGAGAGAACCCGCUCAGCUGGAGGCGAGUCUGAGGAGUCUUCCUGGGAGAGGUCCCCUUGAACGGGGACCUGACUGGGGUGGGACAUUCCUCCAUGAGAACACACAUCAAACCGUGGAGUGCCUCGGCUGUCAGGCCUGCCUCCCAGCUAGACUGCACAUCUAGAGAAGUAGAGGGAAGCUUAACUGAAGAUGACAAUCCCGAUGAUGAUGAUGACGAUGGUGAUGAUUGAUCAUGAUGAUGUUUUGAGGGCAGGGAGGCUGUUACCUUUUGUUGUGGGCUGAAAUGUGUCCCCCCAAAAUUUAUAUUAAAAUGCUAACCCCUAGUACUU